GGAGAGAUGGCCGAGUGGCUGAAGGCAACGGUUUGCUAAACCGUCAUACGGACAUAAAUCCGUAUCGGGGGUUCGAAUCCCCCUCUCUCCGCCA
Molecule: transfer RNA, 94 nt
Filed under: Holosporales bacterium
Lineage: Bacteria; Pseudomonadati; Pseudomonadota; Alphaproteobacteria; Holosporales
Description: tRNA-Ser
Rfam family: tRNA
About the family: Transfer RNA (tRNA) molecules are approximately 80 nucleotides in length.
Source: RNAcentral